CAUUAGAUGGCUGAAAGCCUAAAGCACUGGUCUCUUAAACCAAUUCAUAGUAAAUUAUUACUUCUAAUG
Molecule: transfer RNA, 69 nt
Filed under: Archispirostreptus gigas (African giant black millipede)
Lineage: Eukaryota; Metazoa; Arthropoda; Diplopoda; Spirostreptida; Spirostreptidae
Description: tRNA-Lys
Source: RNAcentral